Molecule: ribosomal RNA, 301 nt
Filed under: uncultured bacterium
Lineage: Bacteria
Description: partial 16S ribosomal RNA
Rfam family: Bacterial small subunit ribosomal RNA
Source: RNAcentral
CAGUCGCCGCGGGAAUACGUAGGGUGCAAGCGUUAAUCGGAAUUACUGGGCGUAAAGCGUGCGCAGGCGGUUAUAUAAGACAGAUGUGAAAUCCCCGGGCUCAACCUGGGAACUGCAUUUGUGACUGUAUAGCUAGAGUACGGCAGAGGGGGAUGGAAUUACGCGUGUAGCAGUGAAAUGCGUAGAUAUGCGGAGGAACACCGAUGGCGAAGGCAAUCCCCUGGGCCUGUACUGACGCUCAUGCACGAAAGCGUGGGGAGCAAACAGGAUUAGAUACCCCAGUAGUCCCUGUCUCUUAUAC